Molecule: non-coding RNA, 835 nt
Organism: Camelina sativa (false flax)
Lineage: Eukaryota; Viridiplantae; Streptophyta; Magnoliopsida; Brassicales; Brassicaceae
Source: RefSeq, a predicted model, not a curated record
UCCUUUCCCCGGGUACCAUAGAGACAAACUAAAAAGACUAUAUUGCCCUCUAAAAUCUAAACAACAAUAUCGAUUAUUUUCUUUUUCCAAUCUCUCUCUCCAAAUAAAAUAUUUUUCAACAAUCCUUCAUCUCUUUUAAUCUUCGUCGUUCUCUGCAACUCUCAUUUUUUCAUAUUCCAAUUUUUUUUUUUGGUGAGUCUCUCCAUCCCAAAUUCAUCUACAUAUUUUUUUCCAUAAUUUACUCCGAUCAUGUUUGCAUCUGAUCCAAUUUCACCCGCUGCAUAUGAGGAAUCCCUUCAUCUGUAACAUGAGAUGCUCUUGUCGCCAUCAGAGAUGCUUCCUUCUAAAGCUGGGAAUCCCAACAAGUCAGUGGACAUAACUCUCAAAGGUUGAAUUUUCGAUCCGGUAGACUAGAUACAACCGACCAAGUUUUUGUCCACCGCUGUUAAGUUCUUUGUUCUCUUGAGUAGACCAGAUUCGUUUUGUCUGGCGUUUUGUGUCUAUUCCUAACAAGAAAACUUGUCCACAUUGCAUGUUAGCAGAAUCUGGUGGACCAGAUCCAACAACCAAGGUUUUUGUCCACCACUAUUAUGUCCUUCGUUCUCUUAAGUUGGUCAUAUCUGUUUGGUCUGGUGUUUUGUGUCCAUCGCUUACAAAAAAAUGCCCACAUUGUUGGUCUGCAAAUCCGGUGGACCAGAUCAAACAACCAAGAUUUUUGUCCAUCACUAUUAUGUCCUUCAUUCUCUUUGAGUGGACCAUAUCAGUUUGGUAUGACUAUUUGUAUCCAUUGCUAACCAAAAAAGUGUCUACAUUGCAACUAUAAAGAUCCAAUGGA